Molecule: small RNA, 110 nt
Filed under: Kosakonia oryzendophytica
Lineage: Bacteria; Pseudomonadati; Pseudomonadota; Gammaproteobacteria; Enterobacterales; Enterobacteriaceae
Description: Enterobacteria rnk leader
Rfam family: Enterobacteria rnk leader
Source: RNAcentral
CGCUCAUUUCCGGCAAAUGUGCGCCGUGUCACUUCACAGUUUGCUACGCUGUCAGUAUCAUCCCUUGUAGACAAACCCUCGCUGCCCGUCGGCGAGGGUUUUUCUUUGGA